RNAcentral lists this unclassified non-coding RNA (342 nucleotides) under soil metagenome. Its description in RNAcentral is "partial contains 5.8S ribosomal RNA, internal transcribed spacer 2, and large subunit ribosomal RNA". The stretch from base 1 to 120 matches the Rfam family "5.8S ribosomal RNA", at positions 35 to 154 of the family's 154-position model. The record is from RNAcentral.
GAUGAAGAACGCAGCGAAAUGCGAUAACUAGUGUGAAUUGCAGAUUUCAGUGAAUCAUCGAAUCUUUGAACGCACAUUGCGCCCGCCAGCACUCUGGCGGGCAUGCCUGUUCGAGCGUCAUUUCAACCAUCAAGCCCCCAGGGGCUUGUGCUGGGGCCCUGCGGCUGCCCGCAGGCCCUGAAAACCAGUGGCGGGCUCGCUAGUCACACCGAGCGCAGUAGCACAUCUCGCUCAGGGCGUGCGGCGGGCUCCUGCCGUGAAACCCCCCACUGUAACCCCAAAGGUUGACCUCGGAUCAGGUAGGAAUACCCGCUGAACUUAAGCAUAUCAAUAAGCGGAGGA